Molecule: ribosomal RNA, 911 nt
Filed under: uncultured bacterium
Lineage: Bacteria
Description: bacterial SSU rRNA
Rfam family: Bacterial small subunit ribosomal RNA
Source: RNAcentral
UGGAUGUGAAAGCCCUGGGCUCAACCUAGGAACUGCAUCCAAAACUAACUCACUAGAGUACGAUAGAGGGAGGUAGAAUUCAUAGUGUAGCGGUGGAAUGCGUAGAUAUUAUGAAGAAUACCAGUGGCGAAGGCGGCCUCCUGGAUCUGUACUGACACUGAGGUGCGAAAGCGUGGGUAGCGAACAGGAUUAGAUACCCUGGUAGUCCACGCCGUAAACGAUGACAACUAGCUGUUAGGAGACUAUGUCUUUUAGUGGCGCAGCUAACGUUUUAAGUUGUCCGCCUGGGGAGUACGGCCGCAAGGCUAAAACUCAAAUGAAUUGACGGGGACCCGCACAAGCAGUGGAUCAUGUGGUUUAAUUCGAUGCAACGCGAAAAACCUUACCUACUCUUGACAUACUUGGAAGCUCUUGUAAUGAGAGUGUGCUUUUAAGAACCAAGAUACAGGUGCUGCAUGGCUGUCGUCAGCUCGUGUCGUGAGAUGUUCCGUUAAGUCGGAUAACGAGCGCAACCCUUACCCUUAUUUGCCAGCGAUUCGGUCGGGAACUAUAAGGGGACUGCCGGUGAUAAACCGGAGGAAGGUGAGGACGACGUCAAGUCAUCAUGGCCCUUACGAGUAGGGCUACACACGUGAUACAAUGGGAGAGACAGACGGACGCUAAGCCGCGAGGUGGUGCUAAUCCUAGAAACUCUCUCGUAGUCCGGAUUGGAGUCUGCAACUCGACUCCAUGAAGUUGGAAUUGCUAGUAAUCGCGGAUCAGCAUGCCGCGGUGAAUACGUUCUCGGGUCUUGUACACACCGCCCGUCACACCAUGGAAGUGGAUUGCACCAGAAGUAGAUAGUCUAACCUUAGGGAAGGCGUUUACCACGGUGUGCUUCAUGACUGGGGUGAAGUCGUAACAAGGUAACC